Molecule: ribosomal RNA, 450 nt
Filed under: uncultured bacterium
Lineage: Bacteria
Description: partial 16S ribosomal RNA
Rfam family: Bacterial small subunit ribosomal RNA
Source: RNAcentral
GUCGAGAAUAAUUCACAAUGGGGGAAACCCUGAUGGUGCAACGCCGCGUGGAGGAUGAAGGUCUUCGGAUUGUAAACUCCUGUCAUUCGAGAGUAAGACCUGACGGUGAUUAGCCGGCAGGGUUGAUAGUAUCGGAAGAGGCAGGGACGGCUAACUUCGUGCCAGCAGCCGCGGUAAUACGGAGGGUGCAAGCGUUAUCCGGAAUCACUGGGUUUAAAGGGUACGUAGGCGGUUAAUUAAGUCAGUAGUGAAAGACUGUCGCUCAACGACGGAUGUGCUAUUGAUACUGGUUAACUUGAAUCAGGUUAGAGUUGGCGGAAUGGGUCAUGUAGCGGUGAAAUGCUUAGAUAUGAAUUGGAAAACAGAUAGCGAAGGCAGCUGACUGGGCCGUGAUUGACGCUGGGGUACGAAAGUGUGGGUAGCGAACAGGAUUAGAAACCCCUGUAGUCC